GACGAACGCUGGCGGCGUGCUUAACACAUGCAAGUCGAACGGAAAGGCCCUGCUUUUGUGGGGUGCUCGAGUGGCGAACGGGUGAGUAACACGUGAGUAACCUGCCCUUGACUUUGGGAUAACUUCAGGAAACUGGGGCUAAUACCGGAUAGGAGCUCCUGCUGCAUGGUGGGGGUUGGAAAGUUUCGGCGGUUGGGGAUGGACUCGCGGCUUAUCAGCUUGUUGGUGGGGUAGUGGCUUACCAAGGCUUUGACGGGCAGCCGGCCUGAGAGGGUAACCGGCCACAUUGGGACUGAGAUACGGCCCAGACUCCUACGGGAGGCAGCAGUGGGGAAUAUUGCACAAUGGGCGGAAGCCUGAUGCAGCAACGCCGCGUGCGGGAUGACGGCCUUCGGGUUGUAAACCGCUUUCGCCUGUGACGAAGCGUGAGUGACGGUAAUGGGUAAAGAAGCACCGGCUAACUACGUG
This 468-nucleotide ribosomal RNA is filed under the name uncultured bacterium. RNAcentral's name for it is "partial 16S ribosomal RNA". It matches the Rfam family "Bacterial small subunit ribosomal RNA", at positions 28 to 507 of the family's 1533-position model. The record is from RNAcentral.